Molecule: non-coding RNA, 352 nt
Organism: Pantherophis guttatus
Lineage: Eukaryota; Metazoa; Chordata; Lepidosauria; Squamata; Colubridae
Source: RefSeq, a predicted model, not a curated record
GUUAAGCGGCAGGUGGCUUCCGUGUCUUGUGGCUGCUUGAUAAUGUAUGAUCUAAUCUCGAUCUCUACCAUGUCUCUGGGUGGAAGACCAAAAACAGAUGCCAAGAGAGAUUGUUGAGAAGUUCACAGCAACAUCUUGUGAUGAUUGGCCAAGCUCUUAGUUCCCAUCUACCACCAACUGUAUACAGACGGCGCAGUCUGUCUUCUUUAACUUCAUAAUGGCAUUCAAAAUAGUAGGGAGAAAAUGUGAAGAAACAAAGACAAAUGCCCUAUUAGGAAUGAGAAAUAAAGUGCAUGGUGAUUUUUUGUUUUUUCUUAAAUACUUCAAUAAAGUAUGUUACAUUUGAGCUUGG